Long non-coding RNA from Betta splendens (Siamese fighting fish), 7175 nucleotides. RefSeq lists it as uncharacterized. The record is from RefSeq and is a predicted model, not a curated record. The transcript is spliced from 3 exons. NCBI's taxonomy places the organism in Eukaryota, Metazoa, Chordata, Actinopteri, Anabantiformes, Osphronemidae.
CUGAGGACGGACUCGACGCCGGGAACCGAAGACGGUUUGAGUGAUUUUAUUUUUUAAAGAGGUCUGUCUUAUGCAAAUUUGAUACGUCCCACGAGGAGCUGCUUCACUGCAGGGAGACGUUUUCCGGACAAAUUAUCCUCCUACGACCCUGCAGGGAUUCGUCACGAGGUGAGCGCUUAUCUGAGCGCGCAGAUCCAUUUAGCCCAACGAGUGACUGUGCAGCUCCGCCCCAGACGUCUCCUCCCGUGAAUCUGGCUUCAGCAGCAGGAAGAUGAACGACACAAUUAACCCGUGCUUGAUAGCAGCUCAGUGAGUAAUGGCUGCUUCUCACUGCCUGUCUGAGCGCAGGCAAACACAGCGGUAAGCAGCGUGUGUGUGUGUGUGUGUGGUCUGAGGAAUUAAUACAUACGACUGUGGAACCCGCUCUGUGGCUCGGACUCUGAUGUGUACAGUAAUAAUAGCUCUGUAGGUUCUGGUGUCCAGAUUUAUGACAUGUGCGAGUGUUCCCGUCUUUGUUUGCGUUUGUAGUUGUGUGAAUCCCAGCGUGUGUUUGUAGGUGCUGCUCUGUCCCUGCCUUUGCUUCCUGUUGUAUACUCUAUUAAAGACCAGUCCUCUGGGAGUGGACAGAUAGGACUGUCAUGUGGUAAUUACCUCAGCUCAUUAAAAGUGACCCCGGGCUUUGUUCUGCCAUCUGGAAACGGUGGCCUGCCUCCUGUUGGACAUGUGUUUGUGAGUGACACCGCUUCCUCGCUCUCACAGUGUGGGAAACCAACACCUGUACAGUUUACAGAGGAGCUGGAAACUCCGUCAUCUCCAGUGUCCGGUUUAAAGAAGAACCACCAGUCACCAGACUGAACAAGUCGAAAGGUGAGUUGGGCACUUCCUGUCACGUACAUAUAACUAAACACCACCUUUGCUGUGCUUUUAGAUGUGACUUGUACUAAUGUGUGAGAUGGUCACUUAAAGGUCCAGACGCAGCCCUGCAACGUUUCAACCUGGCUCAGCAGAAUGAAGGCUGAACGGCGUCCUAGUGCCUGAGAGGAAGCAGGAGAAGUCGCUCUCAUCUAGUAAACUGUUGUGAGGAGUAGCACAUCGCUAAUGGACAAGUGCAGGGAGAGAAUGAGUCAUAGCACUGUGUUCACAAGAACCUCGUCUCCUCCCCUGUGAUGUGUGUGUGUGUGUGUGUGUGUGUGUGUGUGUGUGUGUGUGUGUGUGUGUGUCCACGCAGCCAGGAGAGAGAGGAGCAAACAGAGCAGUAGGAUUGUCAAGCAGCUGAUUAUGCAGGCUCACAUUUUCUAAGUUAGACUGAACGCAUUGCAUUGGGAGGAGGUUCCAGUGGUUUUAAAAUGAACGACAACGCCACAGCGUCUUCACCACCCACAGUGACUUCAAUGACAAAUAUACAGUAAAGAUUAAUUAAAAACUGAGAAAUUAUAAACAAACAAAAGUAGAAUUUAUUGCAUAGCUGCACUAGAAGUAAUAUACCAGAAGUUAGAACACAGAACAUAUUUGAUUUAUGAUUCAUGUGCUAAAUUAAAGCGAUUUUAAAAUGUGGGUGUGAGCUCUGAAAUGGCGUUUGGCAUCAUUUAACAGUGAUUCAGACGCAGCACGUCUGGCUGCCAAAUGAAUGCACUGACAAAAAACCCAGCUGUGUGCGUGUGUGUUCCUGUGUGUAUUCACAUGUGCGUUAAUGUGCAUGUGUGUGCGUGCGUGUGUGUGAGACUGGCAUACUAACAGGAGCAGGUCUGUGUCUGGAGGCGGGCUGUUACUAAGCAGGGUGGUUGCUAGGUGGCGGAGCGGGGAGGGAGCCGCGCUUGAAGUCGCUGAUGGAAUCUGAGGGUUUACCCCUGUGACGGCGCGUGUGUGAGAGUGUUGAGGGGAAACUCGUGUUUUAAACUCCUGUUUAAAUCAUGCGCCGGCGCUAAAAAGGGAAUCCAAACAUGUAUGUGAUGUGACGUGGAGAGCUCAUCAGAACGUAAUCAGUGCCUCGUCAAAACCGCUCGUGUUCAACAAUAGACGUGUGAGUCAUUUACUGUCUCUUUCUUUGCAGAUUGAUGGCAGAAAGCAUCGACAGACACAGAAACCUCAGCUUCUCCCACGACGACUACUGUAUAACACACAGCAGGGGAAUCCUUGCAUUGGGCGACUUCGCAGUACCUUUGUGUGCUCACAUACACACGGGCCCAUUUUGAUGUUUGUCGAAUGCUUUUUGUUUCAACUUACCAUUAGGUCCACGGCUAAAUUUAGAGCAGUCGGCGUUUCUCCUGUCAGAUCUGGUCUGAACCAGUCAGGCACAGACUCGGUGGAGGGGCGGAGGUUUGAUGGGGCGAAGCAGGUUUCCACCCGCGAUGCUGAUAUGAAGGCUCCGAACGCCAGCUAUAACGGACACAUGCAGCAAAAGCAUCGACGCAAAUCAGACCGUCCCCGCUUUUACGCAGGAUACUCAGAGUUAAGAUUAGUCGGGGGGCGUGGGUGAAUGUUGUUUUUUCUAAUUUUACUGCAAACUGUUGAAGUAGUAGGUGUUUGGCUGUGCAAGCUGCACCGCCAACGCUGGAAAAGCUGCAUCCUUCUUUGUUUACAUGUUGUUUUCUGGGUUUAGAAAUAGCGAUGCAAUGCAACGCCUCCCAGAAGCCAGGCUGAAAUGGAACAUUGGGUCCUUGGGUCACAGUCGUAGGUGGAAACACUGAAUCAUUAAGCAGUUCCUAUGCAUAUUUGCUUUUUAUAUUUAAACUUGUUUAUUGUAAAGAUAAACCCCUUUUCUAGUCUUUAUAAUUCACACCAGUGCAUUCAGAGCCCCAUUUCUGGUGAUAUCACAACCAGCUCCCCCCAUUGGCCGAUGAGCAGCCACUGAGCCCACCAAUCGCACCCACUAGUAACAGCUGGUUGCCCCGCCUCCUCCCUCCACUUUAUGAAUGAAGAUUUUUCUGAUGGAGGGGGAGGAGCAGGACAAAAUGAAUAGGGAAGAAGGACGGGAGGGAUGGUGGAAGCGUAGGAGUAAGUAAUGUAAGUAAGGGGGGGCAGGGGAAGUAUAAGGAGGAGGAAGGAUGAACGGGGAGGCGAUGAGUCACAUCUCUGACCUAGAUCCCUGCGGUCUACUUUUUAUUCUGGUCACACCCUCCUCUUAGUGUGUGUGUGGUAGCAUGUACAGAUGGCCAGUCCACCGAAAGCCAGUCAAACACACUUUAAACGGUGAAAUGGCUGCAAGUAUAAAUAUACUUUAUACUCCUGCAUUACUGGGUCCCACAGGCUGCUCAGUCAGGCUGAAAGCAGCCCAUCGUUUGGUGGUGCCUGUUUGACAGGUGGUCUGUGUCAGUGGAUGUAAAAUCAAACACUGGUGCAUUAAGGAGACCUAAUUGGAUCAGAGGAGAUUAAGUACCCAUCAAAAAAAUGUUCACUUUGCUGUUUCACUCCACUGUAGCGUGAGUAAAGUAUGCUGUGUUAUUAUCAUCAACUCAGUGGAUGUGGGCUGCUGAGAUAAGCCUCUCAUUGGCUGACGAGUCAAAGCUGCUUCCUUCCUGCUGUCUCCUUGGUCUUUUACUAUAUUUACUGGGAAACGGGGGUCGUUAAGACCACACUGUGAUUAGUUACUAAAGGGUCCUUUGUUGACAAUAAACUAUACUAUACCAUGACUUUUAUGGCCACAUACUAUUCCAGACCCUUUUUUGACGACAUUUGAUGCUAUCACCCCAUCUUUUAUAAAAUGACUAUGACUAUUUUUAAAGGCAUCACGACCUUUUUUGACGACAUACUACACUAUGACUUUUUGGUGACAACAUGUUUUACGGUGACUUUCAUGGCCACGUUCCUACAGUAUAUGGCCAUAAAAAUCCAAUGUGACCUACAGUAUAUGUGUUUUUUUUUUUACAACAAACAAACUAUGACUUUUUUUGGCGACAUACCACUAAACUAUGACUCUUUUCCAUCACAUGCUAUAAUAUGACUGUUGUUUUUACAAUGACUAUUUUUAUAAUAAACUAUUUUUAUGACCAUUUUUUGACGACAUACUAUACUAUGACUAUUGUUAACAAAAUACUACACUAUGACCUUUUUCAUGACACACUAAAAAUAUUAUACUAUGACCCUUUUUUAUGACAACAUACAAUCCUAUGACUAAAUAUUUGAUGACAUACUAUGACAUACUUAUGGUCACAUACAGUACUUUGACAACCCCCCCCCCCCCCCCCCGCAGUUGAUGACAACCGUAUGACUGACAUACUAUACAAUGACCCGUUUUGGACAACAACAUUUAUAAUAUGUAACAUACUAUGCUAUGACUACAUUUGACAACCUACCAUACUAUGACUGUCGUCGACAAAAUACUACACAAAAAUGACAUUUUUAACGCUAAACUGUGACUUUUUGGACGACAUUUGAUGCUAUCACCCCAUCUUUUAUAAAAUGACUAUGACUAUUUCUAAAGGCAUAAUGACCUUUUUUGACAACAUACUAUGUUAUGACUUUUAUGGCCACAUAUGAACCUUUUUUGAUACAUACUUUACUAUGACUAUUUUAUAACAUAGUAUGCUAUCACUAUUUUUAAUAACAGACUAUGCUAUGACCAUUUCAGAUGACAUACUAUACAUUUUUUUUAUCAAUCCCAGAGGGAAAUUGUUUUGCCAAAUUUGUAUUGCUCUCAACACAGGAAGAAACUAAAGGUAAGCCCAACAGAUGAAAUACAUAUACAGUAUAUAAAUAAACACAUACACAUGCCAAGACAUACACCCAUAUACAUAUUUAUACAUACAUACAUGUGGAUUUACUUUCUCAAACACCUACUUACUGUACAGUACAUAUGGUGUUAUUUUUUCAUCACAUACAUUGACACUUUUUUGACCACAUCACACAAUACUAAGGUAUGUUUUUGACCAUAACAGUUUUUACAUGUUACUUCACCAGGCCUCUUUUGUUUUGUUCAGGAUCUUUCAAUGUCCUUAUGCCUCUGUCUAGUUGGUGAACGACGUGUGCUGUCAUGGUGUUGACGCUGAGAUGGGCAUGUUAAAUAGUGAUGUGCCAGAGGCCGAUUCUGAUCCCCGAUGAGAGAAACAGCAGCAAUAGGGAAUCGACUGCAAUUGGAAAAGUCGUCUUCACAUCCACCAAUCAACAUCCACCAAUCAACAUCCACCUGUCAUUAGAGAUUUUGUUAAAAGCCUGAAAAAUAAUCUGGUGACUCUCAAAGAACUGAGCAGACCACUGUGCAGUUUGAUUUCAUGCAACAUCCUCCUUCCUGAAGUUCCUUACUUGUCUAUGCUGUGUUAACAAAGAAGUGUGCAAUAAACCAGCUGCGCUGCACCUAAACUACUGUGUUUUUUCGUCAUUUACAGUAGAAGUAUAAAAGUGUAGAAAAAAGGUUUAUAGUAUGCAGUCAAAAAAGGGUUAUAGUAUGUGAUGAAGAAAGUAUCAUAGUAUAGUAUGCUGUCAAAAAAAGUUCAUACUAAAGUAUGUCGUCAAAAAGGGUCACAGUAUACCGUGUGAUGGAAAAAAGGUAAAAAAAAUAGUCAUAGUAUACUCUGUGAUGAAGAAAAAAUUAUAGUAUAGGAUGUUGUCAAAAAAUGUUCAUAGUAUAGUAUGUCGUCUAAAAGCUUUAUAGCAUAAUAUGUGAUAAAGUAAAAGUCAUAGUAUAGUAUGGCGUCAAAUACAAAUACAAUAUAGGUUGUUGAAAUACUCAUGGUAUACUUUGUGAUGAAGUAAGUGGAAUAGUAUAGUAUAUUUUAAAAAACAGUGAUAGUAAGGUAUGUCAUCAAGAAAUAGUCACAGUAUACCAUGUGAUGAAAAAAGGUAAAGAAAAUGUCACGUCAAUGAUGAAACUAUGACUAUGACAAAUCAUAGUCAUAGUUUCAUCACAUUGUGAUGAAGAAGGUAUGAUAGUAUAGUAUGUCAAAAAAUGUAUGUAAUGAAGAAAAUACUGUAUCUGUAUAGCAAAAAAAUAAAAAUAAUAUACUUUGUGAUAAAGAACAUAUAGUAUAGUAUGUUGUCAAAAAGAAUCAUAGUAUAGUAUGUCGUGAAUGUUCCUAGUAUAGAAUGGAAUAAAGAAAGUGUCAUAGUAUACAGUAGUAUGUUAUCAAAUACAGUCAUUGUAUAUGGUCAAAAAAUAUUCAUGGUAUACUUUGUAAAGAAGAAAGUAUCACAGUAUAGUAUGACAUCAAAAAGAGCCAUAGUACAGUAUAGUAUGUGAGAAAGAAAGCAUCAUCAUGUAGUCAAGAAAGGUUGAUAAUAUAGUAUGUAGUCAAAAAAGGGUCAUUGUAUAGUAUGUGACGAAGACAAUAUCAGUGUAGUAUGUGAUCUAAAAGGUUCAUAGUAUAACGUGAUAAAGUAUAGUGAUUGUAUAGUAGGUCGUUAAAAAAUAUUCAUGGUAUACUUUUGCAAUUAAGAAAGUGUCAUAGUACAGUAUAUUAUGGCAACAAAAGGGUUCAUAGUAUAGUAUGAGAUAAAGGAAGUAUCAUUUAUGGUUAUGCAAUAAUAUAAGGAAGACCCAACUUCAUUUUAAACAUGCAACAUAUUCAGAAAAUGAGCCACAAAAUUAAACAAUCCUAACAUUAGAUUCUAGUCUAAUCUAGCUGCAAUGCUUUUAGUCACUGAUGCAGAACUGAUCACAUAUGAGUCUGGAAAGGGAUUCAGAAUGUUUGAGUCUCCUGCACACUGAGGAAAGCUGCACGGUGUUAGAGAGGUGACAAGCAACUAUACAGAGACGAAGGAAGAUUCUCCAAAACAGCUUUUACACUGUGGGCCCAUUGCCAGAAACCUGGAAAAUGCUCCCAGACAAGCACAGAUGCAGACAUCAGUAGUUUGGGAACGGCUCCAAGAGUUGCAUGAACACAUGUUUUGGCAUCUGCAAUUCUCUAACGAGCUCAUACAACUCAAGUCACUAUUGUUACCAGGGCUGGACUGGGUGAAUUCCAUUCACAGUGGGUGGCUCAGCAGUAUAAUCACCAUGUUAUGCUGCGUUUAGCAUGUGACAAAAGUGUCAAAUAACACAUUGUUGUCCAUAGACUGAGAGGAUGUGAUUUCAUGUGACGAUCAGAGCUUAAAUAAUGCUGGAAUUCAAAUAAUAAAAAGUCGCUCUUGUCCAAACGUGUCCACAUUGUUUUUUAAUGCAGUUUUGGAAACGGGUCAGAAAGACGUCCUUCAUACCAUCAACAAUAGCGCUCAGUGCUUCGAAUGUUACAAUAUAGAAGAAG